Molecule: ribosomal RNA, 500 nt
Filed under: uncultured Glomeromycotina
Lineage: Eukaryota; Fungi; Glomeromycota
Description: partial small subunit ribosomal RNA
Rfam family: Eukaryotic small subunit ribosomal RNA
Source: RNAcentral
CCAAUAGCGUAUAUUAAAGUUGUUGCAGUUAAAAAGCUCGUAGUUGAAUUUUGGGGUUAGUAGGCUGGUCGUGCCACUGGUAUGUACUGGUCUUACUGACUUCUCCUUUCUGAAGAACUGUAAUGCCAUUAAUUUGGUGUUGCAGGGAAUCAGGACUGUUACUUUGAAAAAAUUAGAGUGUUUAAAGCAGGCUAACGCUUGAAUACAUUAGCAUGGAAUAAUGAAAUAGGACGUUCGAUCCUAUUUUGUUGGUUUCUAGGAUUGACGUAAUGAUUAAUAGGGAUAGUUGGGGGCAUUAGUAUUCAAUCGUUAGAGGUGAAAUUCUUGGAUUUAUUGAAGACUAACCACUGCGAAAGCAUUUGCCAAGGAUGUUUUCAUUAAUUAAGAACGAAAGUUAGGGGAUCGAAGACGAUCAGAUACCGUCGUAGUCUUAACCAUAAGCUAUGCCGACUAGGGAUCGGAUGAUGUUAAUUUUUUAAUGACUCAUUCGGCGCCUUACG